Non-coding RNA from Pelobates cultripes (western spadefoot toad), 170 nucleotides. The record is from the annotation of a GenBank genome assembly. Lineage: Eukaryota; Metazoa; Chordata; Amphibia; Anura; Pelobatidae.
GCUGACACGUUCCAGCCAAUCAGCAGCAGACCCUCCCUCCCAGUCCCUCCCACCUCCUGGACAGCAUCCAUUUUGAAGCUGCAUUCUUAGUGAGCUGUCCAGGAGGUGGGAGGGUCUGGGAGGGAGGGUUUGGGAGGGAGGGUCUGCUCCUGAUUGGCUGGAAUGUGUCU